AAGAGUUUCUAAGCUCUAAACCCAACCGUGGACCGCGAAAACGUUGCCUCGGCGGGCAAAGCCCGCCGGUGGCCCCAACCAAAACGCUUUGCAACGUUUGUCUGAGUGGCGCAAGUCUUAUUGCAAAAUAAGUCA
This 135-nucleotide unclassified non-coding RNA is filed under the name uncultured Ascomycota. RNAcentral describes it as "sequence contains ITS1". Lineage: Eukaryota; Fungi; Ascomycota. The record is from RNAcentral.